GGGGUCAUGGCUCAGUGGUAGAGCUUCUGUUUUGCAUGCAGAAGAUCCCAGGUUCAAUCCUGGCAUCUCCA
Molecule: transfer RNA, 71 nt
Filed under: Sphaerodactylus townsendi
Lineage: Eukaryota; Metazoa; Chordata; Lepidosauria; Squamata; Sphaerodactylidae
Description: tRNA-Ala
Rfam family: tRNA
About the family: Transfer RNA (tRNA) molecules are approximately 80 nucleotides in length. Their secondary structure includes four short double-helical elements and three loops (D, anti-codon, and T loops). Further hydrogen bonds mediate the characteristic L-shaped molecular structure. tRNAs have two regions of fundamental functional importance: the anti-codon, which is responsible for specific mRNA codon recognition, and the 3' end, to which the tRNAs corresponding amino acid is attached (by aminoacyl-tRNA synthetases). tRNAs cope with the degeneracy of the genetic code in two manners: having more than one tRNA (with a specific anti-codon) for a particular amino acid; and 'wobble' base-pairing, i.e. permitting non-standard base-pairing at the 3rd anti-codon position.
Source: RNAcentral